CCUACGGGAGGCAGCAGUGGGGAAUAUUGGGCAAUGGGCGCAAGCCUGACCCAGCAACGCCGCGUGAAGGAAGAAGGCUUUCGGGUUGUAAACUUCUUUUGUCAGGGACGAAGCAAGUGACGGUACCUGACGAAUAAGCCACGGCUAACUACGUGCCAGCAGCCGCGGUAAUACGUAGGGGGCAAGCGUUAUACGGAUUUCCUGGGUGUAAAGGGCGUGUAGGCGGGACUGCAAGUCAGAUGGGAAAACCACGGGCUCAACCUGUGGCCUGCAUUUGAAACUGGAGUUCUUGAGUACGGGAGAGGCAGGCGGAAUGCCUGGUGUAGCGGUGAAAUGCGUAGAUAUUAGGAGGAACACCAGUGGCGAAGGCAGUCUGCUGGACAGCAACUGACGCUGAGGCGCGAAAGCGUGGGGAGCGAACAGGAUUAGAUACCCGGGUAGUC
This 443-nucleotide ribosomal RNA is filed under the name uncultured bacterium. Its description in RNAcentral is "partial 16S ribosomal RNA". It matches the Rfam family "Bacterial small subunit ribosomal RNA", at positions 338 to 795 of the family's 1533-position model. The record is from RNAcentral.